Molecule: ribosomal RNA, 510 nt
Filed under: uncultured bacterium
Lineage: Bacteria
Description: partial 16S ribosomal RNA
Rfam family: Bacterial small subunit ribosomal RNA
Source: RNAcentral
GACGAACGCUGGCGGCGUGCUUAACACAUGCAAGUCGAACGAAGAGCGAUGGAAGCUUGCUUCUAUCAAUCUUAGUGGCGAACGGGUGAGUAACGCGUAAUCAACCUGCCCUUCAGAGGGGGACAACAGUCGGAAACGACUGCUAAUACCGCAUACGAGCUAAUCUCGGCAUCGAGGAUAGAUGAAAGGUGGCCUCUACAUGUAAGCUAUCACUGAAGGAGGGGAUUGCGUCUGAUUAGCUAGUUGGAGGGGUAACGGCCCACCAAGGCGAUGAUCAGUAGCAGGUCUGAGAGGAUGAACGGCCACAUUGGGACUGAGACACGGCCCAGACUCCUACGGGAGGCAGCAGUGGGGAAUCUUCCGCAAUGGACGAAAGUCUGACGGAGCAACGCCGCGUGAGUGAUGACGGCCUUCGGGUUGUAAAGCUCUGUUAAUCGGGACGAAAGGCCUUCUUGCGAAUAGUGAGAAGGAUUGACGGUACCGGAAGAGAAAGCCACGGCUAACUACGUG